Molecule: long non-coding RNA, 2567 nt
Organism: Mytilus californianus (California mussel)
Lineage: Eukaryota; Metazoa; Mollusca; Bivalvia; Mytilida; Mytilidae
Exons: 5
Source: RefSeq, a predicted model, not a curated record
AUACACUUAUGUGCAGCAUAAGUGACUUUAUGGUACAAUGAAAUAUUGUAACUUUUAAUUGUAAGUCUUUUGAUAUAUGUUCGUAAAUUUUAGAAAUAUGUAGAAAAUAGUUUUGUACAGUACAUAGGUGUAUUAUAAUCUGACAUGAAACUUUUAGGAAUUUUGUAAUUGAUAUAGGGGCGCUUCUUUAAGCACAUGUUUCAAUAUGCAGCCUCUUUUUCAAAUAGCUGCUGAAGGCAGAAGGUACAGAAAUUUGGUGACACUCAAUUUCAUAAAAUGUUUUAAUCUAGGCAUGCUUUUAAACACACUUAUACUAGGUCAUUCCAUUUGCCAUCGGCUUCACAACUACCUGAAAUCAGGAAAUGAUCAUAAGACACCAAUUAGACUUCAAUUUGGCAAAAACUACAACUGUGGAGUGGCAUGGCGUAGAAGGAAGAACUAUUCAACUUAAUAAACCCGAAUGUGUUAUUCUCCUAGCUGGUGGUAACGAUGUUGCAGAGGACACGUCUGUUGAGGAAUUGGCAUAUAAACUGAUAAGUUUCUGUUCGCUCCUGACAAAUACGUAUGGCGUUUGACGAGUAGUAACAUGUGCCCUCAUGCCACGCUUCCCACAGGAUAAUUUCAGAUUUAAGAAAUGUGGAUACAAUUGGGACAAUACAAGUGUCCGAGAUAGGGCAUACAAGAAUAUGUAUUUCAAAAAGGCACACGAAAUAGAUAAAAUGAUAAAAAAACGAGGUUGAAAAAUCAUCGAAAUUUAUCUUUUGGGAUCAUAACAAAAGAUUUUCCUUCGAGUCACCACAAACAAAAAUUCAUGCAAAGAUAAAUUUAUUACCGAUGGAGUACAUCUAAAUAUGAAAGGUCAAUACCACUUAUACAAGUCAAUACGAGGAGCAGUUAUCAAUGCCUGCAAAGAGAUUAAAUUAGAAAACAGAAAUUUCACACGUAUCUGAACCAUACUCGUAAAUUUUGUAAUCUUUGGAAAACUUCCGGUGGAUAAUCGCAACAGGAUGACAAUCAAAACUUUGAUGCAUAAUCAUGGUUCAAGUAGUAGUUACUAUAAAUAAAUACUAGUUAACAACAAAAUUUACAUAUCAAUCCCCUAUGUACAGUUUUUCGAUUGAUAUCAUAUUACAUAUCACAUUAUCAUCAUACUUGACUUUUAUACUAAUGUAUGCCAUGUAUAUGUUUGAACUUUUGUUUAUGCUUUUCUAUGAUGAGGGCCUCAGGGAAGAUUAGUUAUAUAGCUAACUGUGUAACCCUCUUAAAAUAAAGUAUUGUUGUUGCUAAAACUAAAUAUUUGGUCACCGAAAGGUAAAUUAUUACGGCGGAAACUUGCAAUAUUUCAGAUAAUAACAGACACAAACAAACAUAUUUAAUGAUUGAGGAUCGUCCAGAUUAAAAUUAUUCAAACAAGGUUAACAUGAAUAAUCAAACUUAAAUCCAAAGAAAAAUAAAUAGACAAAUUCAAUAAAAAUAAAAUAGUCCUAAUAAAAAAAAUUAAAAAAAAUUAUAAUGAUUAAAAUAUUGAAAGUAUUGUAUUAAGUUUGCAUUAGUAUAUUUCAGACAAUGCCUCCAAAAAGAAAAUCCUCAUAUGGAGUGGCAGGUGCCAUUAAAAAAAUGAAGAAUGCCGUCCAGAGGAAGAAAAUAUCCACAGCUAACCCAAGUAGGCCUUACACCCCACCUAAUAAUACAGCAGUUAUGUCUCCAGAUGACAUGGAGGACCUGACCAACAGGGUCACAGAAAGGGUCGCCAGCUGCAUGGAAAGGAGGAUGGAGGAAAUAUUCAAUAAGAUUACUUCCCAAGGAAAUACUUGCAAUUCAGGAGUUCAGGAGGCUGAGAUCCAACAUCAUGUUGACUCUCUGAACAGAAACAUUCAAGGGCUUGUGGGUCACAGCUCGUUACAUAUCGCAUACAGAAUAACAGUUCAUGUUUAUAUGGAAACGGUGGACAAAUGGAAAAAGAUGAAUUAUGACGCUCAUUUAAGCUGAUACAAGGACAACCUAAAACCCGAAAUUCAUCCGUUUACCAUUGAAUUGACCAAAUUUUACUGAGAAGAAAUUGGCAGAAACCAGCUUGCUAGGACUGGAAUCUUAAAAUCUCCCAUUUGCGUUUAGUAAUAUUAAGCAGUAAACUAAUAACAAUAUAUAAGGAAAUACAGUUAUUUGACGAGGAAAAUAGAGUAAAGCAGUAUGUUUCUAGGAAACUUAGAUGCAAGUUUAGGUAAUAACCUCAAUGAAUUUGAAAGUCAUUUACUGAAGUCUCAGGAAUUAAUGUUGGGUCGCGGAAAGAGAAGUCGUCCUGUACCUGUGAUAAUUCCAACAGAUGUAAAAAGCACUCUAGAUUACUUGUCUGAUUCAGACAUUAGAGAAAAAGCAGGUUAUGGGAUGCAAAAUGGCUUUUCCCUCAAAAUAAUUAUUCGAAAAGACUUCCAAACUUUCAUAAAUUUUGUGUAAAAUGACGUUGGGCAUGCAUGGAUACCAUAAACAAGCUCCGUUGGAAAAUGGUCAUGAUACUAUUUGACUUCAAUUUCUAAAACAGAAUAAUAAAGUACUAAUACCACACAUAA